Molecule: ribosomal RNA, 646 nt
Filed under: uncultured cyanobacterium
Lineage: Bacteria; Bacillati; Cyanobacteriota
Description: bacterial SSU rRNA
Rfam family: Bacterial small subunit ribosomal RNA
Source: RNAcentral
CGGACGGGUGAGUAACGCGUGAGGACAGGAGAUAGGAGGGGGACAACGACUGGAAACGGUAGAAAUACCCCAUAUGUCUACGGAUGAAAGAUUUUAUCGCCUGAGGAUGAACUCGCGUCUGAUUAGCUAGUUGGUGAGGUAAGGGCUCACCAAGGCGACGAUCAGUAGCUGGUCUGAGAGGAUGAUCAGCCACACUGGGACUGAGACCCGGCCCAGACUCCUAGGGAGGCAGCAGUGGGGAAUUUUCCGCAAUGGGGGCAACCCUGACGGAGCAAUACCGCGUGCGGGAGGCCGACCUGUGGGUUGUAAACCGCUUUUCUCAGGGAAGAAGGACUGACGGUACCUGAGGAAUCAGCAUCGGCUAACUCCGUGCCAGCAGCCGCGGUAAUACGGAGGAUGCAAGCGUUAUCCGGAAUUAUUGGGCGUAAAGCGUCCGUAGGUGGUUAAACAAGUCUGCUGUUAAAGAGCGGAGCUUAACUCCGUUUUGGCGGUGGAAACUGUUUGACUAGAGAGUGGUAGGGCUAGAGGGAAUUCCCAGUGUAGCGGUGAAAUGCGUAGAUAUUGGGAAGAACACCGGUGGCGAGAGCGCUCUACUGGGGCCACAUCUGACACUGAUGGGACGAAAGCUAGGGGGAGCGAAAAGGGA